Molecule: long non-coding RNA, 449 nt
Organism: Camelus dromedarius (Arabian camel)
Lineage: Eukaryota; Metazoa; Chordata; Mammalia; Artiodactyla; Camelidae
Exons: 4
Source: RefSeq, a predicted model, not a curated record
GCCCAGUUAGGUGGACCAUAUUGAGGCUGCGGUGGUCACCUCGGUAGUAACCGCGGGUGUGUGCCGCAGUCACGUCAGCGGCCUCCGUUUCCUUUAGCCUUCUCUCUCAUCAAAUGAUUUUCCUGUCCAGUUAUAAAGUGCAAGUUGUUGCCCCAAGUGGUCAGGAGAACCUGCAGUAUCUCCAAGCUUACAAUCUGAAGGUGUCCGUUCCUACACUGGUCAGACCACUGUCCUUGGGGCAGCUGGGGUCUUUGGGACCCUCCACCGGGCUCGCCGGUCCGUCGGACUUUUGGCUGAGAUCCGUGUCAGACUCCUCCGAAUAGUCGUCUGUUGGCAUCGAGGGCUGAACCCCUGAGGUGCUGCAUGAACUUGAGAGCGCGCUCUCGCACGCCAGGCAGUGGUACGAGCCGCUGCCGCCACUGCCACCGCCGCCACUGCCGCCGCCACUG